Non-coding RNA from Martensiomyces pterosporus, 110 nucleotides. NCBI's taxonomy places the organism in Eukaryota, Fungi, Kickxellomycota, Kickxellomycetes, Kickxellales, Kickxellaceae. The record is from the annotation of a GenBank genome assembly.
GUCAGUAUGGCCGAGUGGUUAAGGCGCCGGACUUGAACGCAAGCACUAACUAAGUGCUGUGAGCAAUCCUGUGGGCACUGCCCGCGCAGGUUCAAAUCCUGCUGCUGACG